UACGUAGGGUGCAAGCGUUGUCCGGAAUUAUUGGGCGUAAAGAGCUCGUAGGCGGUUUGUCGCGUCGGCUGUGAAAACCUGGGGCUCAACCCCGGGCCUGCAGCCGAUACGGGCAAACUAGAAUUCGGUAGGGGAGUCCGGAAUUCCUGGUGUAGCGGUGAAAUGCGCAGAUAUCAGGAGGAACACCGGUGGCGAAGGCGGGACUCUGGGCCGAUAUUGACGCUGAGGAGCGAAAGCGUGGGGAGCAAACAGG
RNAcentral lists this ribosomal RNA (253 nucleotides) under uncultured bacterium. RNAcentral describes it as "partial 16S ribosomal RNA". It matches the Rfam family "Bacterial small subunit ribosomal RNA", at positions 524 to 776 of the family's 1533-position model. The record is from RNAcentral.